GGGGAUUUGGCUCAGUGGUAGAGCGCUUGCCUAGCAUGUGCAAGGCCCUGGGUUCGGUCCCCAGCCCCG
Molecule: transfer RNA, 69 nt
Filed under: Rattus norvegicus (Norway rat)
Lineage: Eukaryota; Metazoa; Chordata; Mammalia; Rodentia; Muridae
Rfam family: tRNA
About the family: Transfer RNA (tRNA) molecules are approximately 80 nucleotides in length. Their secondary structure includes four short double-helical elements and three loops (D, anti-codon, and T loops).
Source: Rfam by way of RNAcentral